CGGGGUGCACCAGGCGCGAAAACUUUACAAUGCCGGCAACGGCGAUAAGGGAACCUCGAGUGCCAGGUUACAAAUCUGGCUGUCGUGAUGCCUAAAAAGCAUUGCAUAGCAAGGGCCGGGCAAGACCGGUGCCAGCCGCCGCGGUAACACCGGCGGCUCGAGUGGUAACCGUUAUUAUUGGGUCUAAAGGGUCUGUAGCCGGCCGGGUAAGUCUCUUGGGAAAUCUGGCAGCUUAACUGUCAGGCUUUCAGGAGAUACUGCCUGGCUCGAGGCCGGGAGAGGUGAGAGGUACUUCAGGGGUAGGGGUGAAAUCUUGUAAUCCUUGAAGGACCACCAGUGGCGAAGGCGUCUCACCAGAACGGUCCUGACGGCAAGGGACGAAAGCUAGGGGCACGAACCGGAUUAGAUACCCGGGUAGUCCUAGCCGUAAACGAUACUCGCUAGGUGUCGGCCACGGUGCGACCGUGGUCGGUGCCGUAGGGAAGCCGUGAAGCGAGCCACCUGGGAAGUACGGCCGCAAGGCUGAAACUUAAAGGAAUUGGCGGGGGAGCACAAGGGCGAUUCGCG
This 567-nucleotide ribosomal RNA is filed under the name uncultured archaeon. RNAcentral's name for it is "bacterial SSU rRNA". It matches the Rfam family "Archaeal small subunit ribosomal RNA", at positions 326 to 897 of the family's 1478-position model. The record is from RNAcentral.